AGCCAAAAAUGAAAAUUGAGCUGUGAAUAAUCAGAUAGGAAUUAUGUGGACAAAUGAGAUUUCAGAAUUUGGAAGGCACCAGUCUGGGACUUGAUCAUUCUGUACUGAGUUAGAUUUUACCCUCAGCUUUUUGAGGAAGUUAGAAGUAAUGUCGUCCUCUUUAAGGGGACUGCUUCCGGUAAAUUAUUUAAUGGGAUCAUCAACUUGCAAUCUUACUUUGGCUGUCAAAGGCACUUGUAUUAUGGCUGCUGGUUAGGUUCAAAGAUAUAGAACUGUUCCCCCCCCCCCCCCCUCUCAAAUACAAGAUAUAAAACUGUUAUUUCUCCUUAUUGGCAUCAAAUAGCAGAUCAUACAACCCCGUCACGUUUGGCCUUCCGUA
Neltuma alba is the source of this 379-nucleotide long non-coding RNA. RefSeq lists it as uncharacterized. The record is from RefSeq and is a predicted model, not a curated record. The transcript is spliced from 2 exons. NCBI's taxonomy places the organism in Eukaryota, Viridiplantae, Streptophyta, Magnoliopsida, Fabales, Fabaceae.